GCGGAAGUGGUGGAAUUGGUAGACACACUGGAUUUAGGUUCCAGCGCCGCAAGGCGUGAGAGUUCGAGUCUCUCCGUCCGCACCA
This 85-nucleotide transfer RNA is filed under the name Pseudomonas aeruginosa. RNAcentral's name for it is "tRNA-Leu". It matches the Rfam family "tRNA". Rfam says of the family: Transfer RNA (tRNA) molecules are approximately 80 nucleotides in length. The record is from RNAcentral. Lineage: Bacteria; Pseudomonadati; Pseudomonadota; Gammaproteobacteria; Pseudomonadales; Pseudomonadaceae.